GUCAUGUUUACAAGGAUGGUCGAAUGAGUUAUCGCAUGAUAUUUUGCGGUAAUUUUACAUGUUGCAGAGGAUUUCUCGUUGCUAUUGGCAACGCGAAUUAAAACGCGGGUCCAAGGAAUGUUCUCCAAUCACCAGACCGAUAUCUUUAGAGAUGACCGGAUCCGAUCCCGUCGGUAGAGAUUUAGCAGGUUAACAAAUCACUCACUUUUGCCAAACCCGUUUUUUUAUUCAUAAUCCGGUUAUGAAUAAAGAACAUCUGUUGAGAUUUAGCUUGCUGGUCAUGCAUGGAGUGAUCAUGAACAUGCUCCCUCCCGGGUACUGUUCUUAUCGUGGUAUGAUUAUCUCAGGUUGUCUUGUGUGAAUUUCUAGCAGCUAGUUGGCCUACUAGUGCAAAUUAUGCUCUAUCGUGUGCUCCAAUUCUAGAUUAAGUUAUUGGUUGAAAACGCGUGAUUCUUCACCACCAUUGGCAUUGCAUGUCCACGUGCCAGAGACCAGACCUGUACAAUGUACACCUGAAGAUGUCAGAAGAGCUGCACUGAAAAGACCCCACAGGGGCCUACUGUCUGGAGCAGUUGGCUGACCUGUCUCAUGAGGAUGAACAAGAGCAGAGAACAUGGCCAGCGUAACAAAUAUGGAAAAAAGAUUGAUAGACUCAUGAUGGAUGUUUGAUCCCUGAAGAAUGAGAUUAGGCUGCGGAAGAAGGAGCGUCUGCUGGCGCACCAGUCUGAGUAUCUGAGUGCAUGCCAGCAUGUCAUCGACGAGCAGGAGGAGGAUCUGCUGGAUUCCACCAAAGACCUGGACCUUGGAAAACGAGAGAACAUCUCCCUCCAACACUCCCAAAGGAAGAGGUGGGAGACUGGCCA
Molecule: long non-coding RNA, 863 nt
Organism: Salvelinus namaycush (lake trout)
Lineage: Eukaryota; Metazoa; Chordata; Actinopteri; Salmoniformes; Salmonidae
Exons: 3
Source: RefSeq, a predicted model, not a curated record